This 27-nucleotide non-coding RNA is filed under the name Homo sapiens (human). The record is from RNAcentral. Lineage: Eukaryota; Metazoa; Chordata; Mammalia; Primates; Hominidae.
UGAUAGCAAUAGAGCAAAUAACAUGGG